AGCAGCCGCGGUAAUUCCAGCUCCAAUAGCGUAUAUUAAAGUUGUUGCAGUUAAAAGGCUCGUAGUUGAACUUCGGGGUCUACCCAUUGGUCAGGCUUAAUUGUCUGCACUGGUGAGAUGGAUCUCUACCUUCUGAGGAACUUUCAUGCCAUUUAUUUGGUGUGGUUGGAAACCAGGACUGUUACUUUGAAAAAAUUAGAGUGUUUAAAGCAGACUAUCGUCUGAAUACAUUAGCAUGGAAUAAUGAAAUAGGACGGACUGAUUCUAUUUCGUUGGUUUCUAGGAUCACCGUAAUGAUUAAUAGGGAUAGGUUGGGGGCAGUUAGUAUUCAAUU
Molecule: ribosomal RNA, 334 nt
Filed under: uncultured Diversispora
Lineage: Eukaryota; Fungi; Glomeromycota; Glomeromycetes; Diversisporales; Diversisporaceae
Description: SSU rRNA
Rfam family: Eukaryotic small subunit ribosomal RNA
Source: RNAcentral